This is a regulatory RNA element of Felis catus (domestic cat), 62 nucleotides long. It matches the Rfam family "Gag/pol translational readthrough site". NCBI's taxonomy places the organism in Eukaryota, Metazoa, Chordata, Mammalia, Carnivora, Felidae. The record is from Rfam.
UAGGGGAGUCGGGGUUUGGACCCUCUCCCUGAACCCAGGGUAACUCUUAAAGUGGAGGGGAC